Molecule: long non-coding RNA, 2124 nt
Organism: Brassica napus (rape)
Lineage: Eukaryota; Viridiplantae; Streptophyta; Magnoliopsida; Brassicales; Brassicaceae
Exons: 2
Source: RefSeq, a predicted model, not a curated record
AUGACUCUUCUCAAGUCCUCUUGUCACAUCAGCACCAACAUGAUCAUGACACGUAGUCUUUGCAUGUCUGAUUGGUCACAAAGUCAAUGCCCUCACUAGAUCGCAUGACAUCCUAACCUAAUCUCCAAGAAAUGAUCUCGACCGUUACUUCUCCACCAUUGCUGACCACUCACAAAGUUGAGUCAUCUAACAGCAGUUUUGAUUAGCUCAACCGUUGCUUAUCUCUUAAGAAACGAUCUCAACCGUUGUGUCUUUUUUCUUACAAAUGUCUCACCUAACCUAAUAAUGUAGUAUGUUUCAAAAAAAAAAAAAAACCUAAUAAUGUAGUAUAUUUGCCGUCUAACGAAAUUGAUUUUCCAUGGAGUUGUAUAUAUAUCUACUCCUCCUAAUAUAAUUUCCCACCAAUCUCCGAUCGCCUCAUGGCGACGGCAAGAUUACCCUCGUCUUUCUCCCCUCACAUUUUCUUCUCCAUUUUCAACGGACGACGUACCAACCUGUAUCCCUACGCACGGCCUAGAUAAACUCGUCACAUCUUGGGAGCCACAUGCCGCGGAGAAAGCGUACGAUUCGUCGAUCUCACCUCUCGUUUUCUAGCCGAGAUCAUCAACUCCGACAAAAUGAAGGUCCACGAGGAAUUGCACAUCAACACGAAUCAGGUUACAAUGCUGGAGCGUCGCACACCUCACCAUAUUUGAUGCGGCGGAACGGGAAAUUAUGGCGGUGAGUUCGCCGUCUUUCUUGGAAGAGCUGGCACAGUAGAUGGUGGGAAAUGCCGCGACCCUCAGGCAUCGUAGUUUGAUUCUUGGUGACGUGCUAUUCCUUCUAGACUUACAUCUUGUCGGAGUUUAUGAUCUCGGCUCGCAAACGAGGUGCGGGAUCGACGGUAAGUCGUGAGUUUCCGCCGCCGCUGACUCCAUGGAUGCCGCACACUUUUAUCUUUGCGAUUCCAAGGCGCGUGUCUUUUGUUACGGCUUUUUUUUUUUUGUUAUGUUUUUGAAACGAUGUCACAAUGCACCACACUAAAAUCUACCAUACCUCGCAUCUUUUAAUUGUGAUUCCUAUUUGUUAAUUUCAAGAAGCAUCUACAAUCUUGAAUCUUUUAAUCUUUUUGAACUUUUCCUUCGUAUUAUUAACCAACAAGCAAUUUACCAAGUCCUCUCUUUAUUUACUUUAUGUUCUCUCUAGACCGAAGAAUUGUUUCUUCUCGAUCCCAAAUCACACGAUAUUUGACUUUCAAUCGGGACAUAAUCAUUCUUUCAAUAAAAUAACGUUCAAAUUGCGCUUAUAUAUGACCUAGAUAAUCUCAUAUACAUAAAUUUAAACAUUUGACAAGAUUUUUUGAAUAUAUUAACAACCUAUAGAUAUCAUCAGUACAAUCGUGUUUGAAAUAUUAUAAUUAAUUUUUCACAUUAAUUUAGGUUACAAAAGACAACAAAUUAUUGUAUAAGUAUUAAUACAUUUUGAUAAAAGAAUUGUAAGAGUAUCUUAAUAAAUAAAAAAUCUUGACAACACUGAAUAACUCUACAUUUUAUGAACCGAGAGAAAGAAGAAAUAAGUUAUUCUUAUUAUUCCAUAGGUCACAAUACAAUAUAUAAGAAACAAAACUUGGGUCUACGAUGAACCUUUAAAUUCAUGUCACUUCUUUACACCAAUCAAACUGCUACUUAAGAUUAGUUAAAAAAAUAUUAAAUUUUUAAAAAAUAAAAAACUAGAAGAAAAAGUAAUUAACGUGUGACGUCGCGUUAACAGUUUUGAUCUGAUUUCUUCUUCUUCAUCAAUUGGCUUCUUCUUCUUCAUGGCAGACACUCCCAAAUAAUUCUUCACCUAACUUACAGAACAAAGAUAAGCUUGACCUUGGCGAUCUUGGGAGAACUAUCUCAGGCAACAAAAUGGAAGCUUCACAAGCUAAUAACUCUGAAGAAACUAAAGUCCGAGAUCGUGACGUCUAUGUAAUUUCAAAAGACAAGGCCGAGAAGCAACAAAUGAUUCUCCACAGACAACACUAUAGUUUACAAGUUUAUGUAUGGUUUACAUUAUAGUUUACAAGUUUAGGUGAGAACAACACUAUAGUUUACAAGUUUAUGUAUAGUUUAAUAGUUAAUAACUAUUUUUAUAUAACCACAA